UUCACGAUCACGGGGCAAUACCAGACGCUCCAGAAACCGAAACUUUGCGUUACACUGCCUAUAGGCAAUGGACAGCAUGGAUACAUGGAAAGCUUGGCAAGAAAUAUCGACUUCCUAUACCAUCCUGUGCUGUUAAAGAAAUAAGGAAAGCAUUUCUUUCACCUUCUGGCAUAUAUAAAGGCUUUGAAUAUGCACAGCAUUUAUAAAUACCUCUUGCAUUGCCUUGUAAAAGAAAUGUGUAUGCUUUGGUGCAUAUAGUAUAACAACUCGAUGAAAACCUUCAAGAGCUGAUGUUUGUUUCUCAUGGCUGAGCUUCCCAAUAUCUUUCAUGAGAUACCUGCUUUCAACAAUCGAUGCCAAUUCAGUAAAUGCUCUAGAUCCUUGGAAAAAAGAUAGAAAAUUUUAUGGUGCCCAUUUAUGUCAUAUGUUGACAAAUAACACCACAUUGUGGCAUUGGCUGGCAAUUGAAGUUUGUUGAUAAAGAAAGUAUCAAUUACUGUAAAUAACUAUUAUGUCUUAUACCAGAGCAUUUAGGAUUAAUUUGUACCUUUCUUUAUCCAUAAGCGAGGCUCAAGAGUACCAUGCUCACAUUUUGGAAAUAAUUCGCUAUGACCAUCAUGAAUGUUGCAAAUGUGAUUCAGCAAUGAUAGCCA
Long non-coding RNA from Xenia sp. Carnegie-2017, 653 nucleotides. RefSeq lists it as uncharacterized. The transcript is spliced from 3 exons. The record is from RefSeq and is a predicted model, not a curated record. NCBI's taxonomy places the organism in Eukaryota, Metazoa, Cnidaria, Anthozoa, Malacalcyonacea, Xeniidae.